This 888-nucleotide ribosomal RNA is filed under the name uncultured bacterium. Its description in RNAcentral is "bacterial SSU rRNA". It matches the Rfam family "Bacterial small subunit ribosomal RNA", at positions 1 to 925 of the family's 1533-position model. The record is from RNAcentral.
CCGCGGGAUAGAGUUUGAUCCUGGCUCAGGAUAAACGCUGGCGGCGUGCCUAACACAUGCAAGUCGAACGCACUCAGCAAUGAGUGAGUGGCGGACGGGUGAGUAACACGUGGGCAAUUUACCUUUCGGUGAGGAAUACCGGCGAGAAAUCGCCGACAAUACCGCAUACGCUUCGUAAGAAGCAAAGUCGCAAGACGCCGGAGGAGAAGCCUGCGCCCGAUUAGCUAGUUGGUGGAGUAAUGGUCUACCAAGGCGACGAUCGGUAGCUGGUCUGAGAGGAUGAUCAGCCACACUGGGAUUGAGAACGGCCCAGACUCCUACGGGGGGCAGCAGUGAGGAAUUUUCGUCAAUGGGGGCAACCCUGAACGAGCAACGCCGCGUGUAGGAUGACACUUUUCGGAGCGUAAACUACUUUUCUCGGGGACGAGUAAGGACGGUACCCGAGGAAUCAGCCCCGGCUAACUACGUGCCAGCAGCCGCGGUAAUACGUAGGGGGCGAGCGUUGUCCGGAGUUACUGGGCGUAAAGCGCACGCAGGCGGUCCGGUAAGUUUGGAGUGACAAUUCUCGGCUUAACUGAGAAGGGUCUUCGAAGACUGCCGGACUUGAGGGCUCACGAGGGACACGGAAUUCCGGGUGGAGUGGUGAAAUGCGUAGAGAUCCGGAGGAACACCAAAGGCGAAGGCAGUGUCCUGNGGAGUACCUGACGCUCAGGUGCGAAAGCUAGGGGAGCGAACGGGAUUAGAUACCCCGGUAGUCCUAGCCGUAAACGAUGACCACUAGGCGUGGGGGGUAUCGACCCCUUCCGUGCCGUAGCUAACGUGAUAAGUGGUCCGCCUGGGGAGUACGGUCGCAAGAUUAAAACUCAAAGGAAUUGACGGGGACCCGCA